UGAGAGUUUUUGUCAGUAUUCACCAGGAA
Molecule: non-coding RNA, 29 nt
Filed under: Mus musculus (house mouse)
Lineage: Eukaryota; Metazoa; Chordata; Mammalia; Rodentia; Muridae
Source: RNAcentral